GGUAGCGUGGCCGAGCAGUCUAAGGCGCUGGAUUAAGGCUCCAGUUUUGGGGGCUUGGGUUCGAAUCCCACCGCUGCCA
RNAcentral lists this transfer RNA (79 nucleotides) under Xenopus tropicalis (tropical clawed frog). RNAcentral's name for it is "tRNA-Leu (AAG) (tRNA-Leu-AAG-13-1)". It matches the Rfam family "tRNA". Rfam says of the family: Transfer RNA (tRNA) molecules are approximately 80 nucleotides in length. Their secondary structure includes four short double-helical elements and three loops (D, anti-codon, and T loops). The record is from Rfam by way of RNAcentral. Lineage: Eukaryota; Metazoa; Chordata; Amphibia; Anura; Pipidae.